RNAcentral lists this long non-coding RNA (1430 nucleotides) under Linum usitatissimum (flax). RNAcentral describes it as "long non-coding RNA (LUSI_LNC002693)". Lineage: Eukaryota; Viridiplantae; Streptophyta; Magnoliopsida; Malpighiales; Linaceae. The record is from RNAcentral.
GAUCUCGUGGGUUUUGAGGAAUUCGCGAGCCAGGUCCGGAGAGGAGACCACGAUGGCCGAGAUGGAGCCGAGCUUGAUGUUCAUGAGCGGGCCAUAGCGUGAGGCGAGGUCGUGGAAAGUGUGGUGGAUUAGUGGUCCGAUGAGGUGGAGAUGGCCGAUGACCGGAAGGGACAUGGGUCCCGGAGGGAGGUCUUUGUUGUUUCGUGCAUUUCGAGCUAGGGUUAGGGCGAAGAAGGCGAGUAUGGCUAGGAGGGAGAGAAGCUCGACGAUCAUGGUGAGCAUUUGGGGGGGUGAAGAAAGAUGAAAUGGUUAAGAAAUCAAUGGUUUUGUGUGUAUAAGUAUGGAGCUAGCUCUCUGGUGGUAGGUAGCAACUACCAAUGAAAUGAAGGGAUAUUUAUUUUAUUAGUUAUGGGAUAUUCAAUAUCCACCGUAAAAUGUAAUUAUGUAAGUGCUAGUCCGUCAACAGCCAACCAUCGCACAAUAAAAAUUUAAUAAAUUCCAUCCAUGGUUAUUGGAACCUCCUAAAAAGAUUUACUAAAUUCAUCGAGUACUUCAAGUGCAUCAGCAUGGCAUCUGGUGUACAUUAACUUGUUACACUGUUUGUCUUAAAUAAAUAAAUAAAACAUAUUACAUUGUUUGUUAAGCUUCAAUUAGAUUAGCAUUGACGGAACCGCCGGUGGGCCAACCAUAUAUGGUCCCAAAAUCAAACAACGUUGAAAGUCGAUAUAAAUUUUUCGAAAUAAAAAUUUAUGUCGAGUUCUUAUAUAAGUUAGCUAAACCUUUAAACACCGGUGCAUAUAUCCAAGGGGGGGAGUUGGGGUGAGCUAUGGCUUACCCAUGUUUCGGUCCAGAGAAUUCGGCGCAAUGAUUGAUCGUAUUGAAACCAGAAGGAGGCAGGGAAAGUCACAAUUCUCAUCUUUCAUAUGCCAUUACGUAUGGGUCGACUAUUAUUUCGAACACAAAUACAAGUUUAGUGACCAUUACAUGCAUUUUCGACCCGCACUCCAGCAAUUAGGUACGUAGGAGUUGCGCCCCUCUCAUCAAUUAUUUCACAGUGAUGUGCCCGUAGGGUGCGAAGGCGAAGGAGAUGUUGUUGUAGGUGAGGUAGUCGAUGGCAAUGGUGCUGGCCCGCAUCGAGAAGUUGAUCUCGUGGGUUUUGAGGAAUUCGCGAGCCAGGUCCGGAGAGGAGACCACGAUGGCCGAGAUGGAGCCGAGCUUGAUGUUCAUGAGCGGGCCAUAGCGUGAGGCGAGGUCGUGGAAAGUGUGGUGGAUUAGUGGUCCGAUGAGGUGGAGAUGGCCGAUGACCGGAAGGGACAUGGGUCCCGGAGGGAGGUCUUUGUUGUUUCGUGCAUUUCGAGCUAGGGUUAGGGCGAAGAAGGCGAGUAUGGCUAGGAGGGAGAGAAGCUCGACGAUCAUGGUGAGCAUUUGGG